Molecule: ribosomal RNA, 253 nt
Filed under: uncultured bacterium
Lineage: Bacteria
Description: partial 16S ribosomal RNA
Rfam family: Bacterial small subunit ribosomal RNA
Source: RNAcentral
UACGGAGGGUGCAAGCGUUAAUCGGAAUUACUGGGCGUAAAGCGCACGUAGGUGGUUUGUUAAGCUAGCUGUGAAAUCCCCGGGCUCAACCUGGGCACUGCAGUUAGAACUGGCAAGCUAGAGUAGGGUAGAGGGGUGUGGAAUUCCAGGUGUAGCGGUGAAAUGCGUAGAUAUCUGGAGGAACAUCAGUGGCGAAGGCGACACCCUGGACUCAUACUGACACUGAGGUGCGAAAGCGUGGAGAGCAAACAGG